CCCUACGGGGCGCAGCAGGCGCGAAAACUUUACAAUGCGGGAAACCGUGAUAAGGGAACUCCGAGUGUCCGUAAAUGCGGACUGUCCGUAUGUUUAAAAAGCAUGCGAAGAAAGGGCCGGGCAAGACCGGUGCCAGCCGCCGCGGUAAUACCGGCGGCUCGAGUGGUGGCCACUAUUACUGGGCUUAAAGCGUUCGUAGCUGGGUCGUUAAGUCUCUUGGGAAAUCUACCGGCUUAACCGAUAGGCGUCCAAGGGAUACUG
RNAcentral lists this ribosomal RNA (261 nucleotides) under uncultured methanogenic archaeon. RNAcentral's name for it is "partial 16S ribosomal RNA". It matches the Rfam family "Archaeal small subunit ribosomal RNA", at positions 321 to 586 of the family's 1478-position model. The record is from RNAcentral. Lineage: Archaea; Methanobacteriati; Methanobacteriota.